RNAcentral lists this long non-coding RNA (675 nucleotides) under Sorghum bicolor (sorghum). RNAcentral's name for it is "long non-coding RNA (SBIC_LNC010380)". The record is from RNAcentral. Lineage: Eukaryota; Viridiplantae; Streptophyta; Magnoliopsida; Poales; Poaceae.
CUCAUAGGUGGGAGAUAAAAUAUACAUACUUACAAGACAUUUAUUGCAUAGUCAAACCAUGGAUCCAAAGUAACAAGUCAAUAAGUUUAAUCAAGAUGUGCAUGUGUGGUGAAUGAAUGGUGUAUGGUGAUGAUGGUGAUAACAAUGGUGAAAACAAUGGAGGUGGAAGUCUAAUUCUACUUUUGCUCUUUGAGGGGAUACAUACCUUCCUUGCUUUUGAAACUUUAUGAGGAGAAUGAAAUGCUCUUCUUUUUCUUGUCUCUCAGGUGGGUAUCUUGUACCCCUAAUUUCUACUGUCGGACACUUGUCCAUUUUUACCUCUGGUCUCACUUUUUCUUUUCUUUCGAGGUUCCGAGCACUUGCUCCUUUUUAUUUCCUCGUUUCUCUCUCUUUUUUUUUCAGAGCAUUCAUCUCUUGAGAUAAUAUCGCAAGUGGUAGUAACAAAAUAACUUGAGCAUUUAUUUCACAAGGGGAAAAUAGAAAUAUUUUUGGUUAUUCUCUCCCAGAUUAGGAGUAGAAUAUUUUUGGGUGAUUCUGGAGAUGGAAUGGGUGGAUAUAUGUGGAUGGUACUUCCGGAGUAGAAGUAGCAUAUAUGAGUGAACGUGUAAGUGAAAUCUUGAUUUAACCACAUGACAAGCUCCUAAGGGUCUACACAGCUUGACCACACUCAAUGCA